Molecule: ribosomal RNA, 478 nt
Filed under: uncultured bacterium
Lineage: Bacteria
Description: partial 16S ribosomal RNA
Rfam family: Bacterial small subunit ribosomal RNA
Source: RNAcentral
GAUGAACGCUGGCGGCGUGCUUAACACAUGCAAGUCGAACGGGAAACCUUUUAAUGAAGCUUCGGCAGAUUUAGCUGGUUUCUAGUGGCGGACGGGUGAGUAACGCGAGGGUAACCUGCCUUAUACAGGGGGAUAACAGUCAGAAAUGACUGCUAAUACCGCAUAAGCGCACAGGACCGCAUGGUCCGGUGUGAAAAACUCCGGUGGUAUAAGAUGGACCCGCGUUGGAUUAGCUUGUUGGUGGGGUAACGGCUCACCAAGGCGACGACCCAUAGCCGGCCUGAGAGGGUGAACGGCCACAUUGGGACUGAGACACGGCCCAGACUCCUACGGGAGGCAGCAGUGGGGAAUAUUGCACAAUGGGGGAAACCCUGAUGCAGCGACGCCGCGUGAAGGAAGAAGUAUCUCGGUAUGUAAACUUCUAUCAGCAGGGAAGAUAGUGACGGUACCUGACUAAGAAGCCCCGGCUAACUACGUG